AUAUCUGCUUUGGUGGUACAUGUGCUAAAACUGGAAUGAUACAGAGAAAAUCAGGUCCCUGCACCAUGAUGACAUACAAAUUUGUGCAAACUCCAUGGUUUCA
Molecule: small nuclear RNA, 103 nt
Organism: Ictidomys tridecemlineatus (thirteen-lined ground squirrel)
Lineage: Eukaryota; Metazoa; Chordata; Mammalia; Rodentia; Sciuridae
Source: Ensembl